AAAGGAAUAGACGGGGGCCCGCACAAGCAGCGGAGCAUGUGGUUUAAUUCGAAGCAACGCGAAGAACCUUACCAAGGCUUGACAUCCUCUGACGAACGUAGAGAUACGUUUUCCCUUCGGGGCAGAGUGACAGGUGGUGCAUGGUUGUCGUCAGCUCGUGUCGUGAGAUGUUGGGUUAAGUCCCGCAACGAGCGCAACCCUUAUCACUAGUUGCCAGCGGUUCGGCCGGGAACUCUAGUGAGACUGCCGGGGACAACUCGGAGGAAGGUGGGGACGACGUCAAAUCAUCAUGCCCCUUAUGUCUUGGGCUACACACGUGCUACAAUGGCCGGUACAAAGGGCUGCGAUGCCGUAAGGUUGAGCGAAUCUCAAAAAGCCGGUCCCAGUUCGGAUUGUGGGCUGCAACCCGCCCACAUGAAGUCGGAGUUGCUAGUAAUCGCGAAUCAGCAUGUCGCGGUGAAUGCGUUCCCGGGCCUUGUACACACCGCCCGU
Molecule: ribosomal RNA, 492 nt
Filed under: uncultured bacterium
Lineage: Bacteria
Description: bacterial SSU rRNA
Rfam family: Bacterial small subunit ribosomal RNA
Source: RNAcentral